This 505-nucleotide ribosomal RNA is filed under the name uncultured bacterium. RNAcentral describes it as "partial 16S ribosomal RNA". It matches the Rfam family "Bacterial small subunit ribosomal RNA", at positions 29 to 523 of the family's 1533-position model. The record is from RNAcentral.
AGUGAACGCUGGCGGUAGGCCUAACACAUGCGAGUCGAACGGCAGCACAGGAGAGCUUGCUCUCUGGGUGGCGAGUGGCGGACGGGUGAGGAAUACAUCGGAAUCUACUCUGUCGUGGGGGAUAACGUAGGGAAACUUACGCAAUACCGCAUACGACCUACGGGUGAAAGCAGGGGAUCUUCGGACCUUGCGCGAUUGAAUGAGCCGAUGUCGGAUUAGCUAGUUGGCGGGGUAAAGGCCCACCAAGGCGACGAUCCGUAGCUGGUCUGAGAGGAUGAUCAGCCACACUGGAACUGAGACACGGUCCAGACUCCUACGGGAGGCAGCAGUGGGGAAUAUUGGACAAUGGGCGCAAGCCUGAUCCAGCCAUACCGCGUGGGUGAAGAAGGCCUUCGGGUUGUAAAGCCCUUUUGUUGGGAAAGAAAUCCAGCUGGCUAAUACCCGGUUGGGAUGACGGUACCCAAAGAAUAAGCACCGGCUAACUUCGUGCCAGCAGCAGCCGCGG